CCUACGGGUGGCUGCAGUGGGGAAUAUUGGACAAUGGGGGCAACCCUGAUCCAGCCAUGCCGCGUGUGUGAAGAAGGCCCUCGGGUUGUAAAGCACUUUCAGUGAGGAAGAACGCCUGGUGGUUAAUACCCAUCAGGAAAGACAUCACUCACAGAAGAAGCACCGGCUAACUCCGUGCCAGCAGCCGCGGUAAUACGGAGGGUGCGAGCGUUAAUCGGAAUUACUGGGCGUAAAGCGCGCGUAGGUGGCUUGAUAAGCCGGUUGUGAAAGCCCCGGGCUCAACCUGGGAACGGCAUCCGGAACUGUCAAGCUAGAGUGCAGGAGAGGAAGGUAGAAUUCCCGGUGUAGCGGUGAAAUGCGUAGAGAUCGGGAGGAAUACCAGUGGUGAAGGCGGCCUUCUGGACUGACACUGACACUGAGGUGCGAAAGCGUGGGUAGCAAACAGGAUUAGAUACCCGAGUAGUC
This 465-nucleotide ribosomal RNA is filed under the name Vreelandella stevensii. Its description in RNAcentral is "partial 16S ribosomal RNA". It matches the Rfam family "Bacterial small subunit ribosomal RNA", at positions 338 to 795 of the family's 1533-position model. The record is from RNAcentral. Lineage: Bacteria; Pseudomonadati; Pseudomonadota; Gammaproteobacteria; Oceanospirillales; Halomonadaceae.